RNAcentral lists this ribosomal RNA (255 nucleotides) under uncultured bacterium. RNAcentral's name for it is "partial 16S ribosomal RNA". It matches the Rfam family "Bacterial small subunit ribosomal RNA", at positions 524 to 776 of the family's 1533-position model. The record is from RNAcentral.
UACGUAGGGGGCGAGCGUUGUCCGGAUUUAUUGGGCGUAAAGAGCGUGUAGGCGGCCAGGUAGGUCUGCUGUGAAAACUCGAGGCUCAACCUCGAGACGUCGGCGGAAACCAUCUGGCUAGGAGUCCGGAAGAGGAGAGUGGAAUUCCUGGUGUAGCGGUGGAAAUGCGCAGAUAUCAGGAAGAACACCCGUGGCGAAGGCGGCUACCUGGCCUAAUACUGACACUGAGGCACGAAAGCGUGGGGAGCAAACAGG